Molecule: long non-coding RNA, 777 nt
Organism: Rhododendron vialii
Lineage: Eukaryota; Viridiplantae; Streptophyta; Magnoliopsida; Ericales; Ericaceae
Exons: 2
Source: RefSeq, a predicted model, not a curated record
UGCUAUGGAACCGCUGCAUUUGGUAUUGAUCACAGCCAUGUAGUGCUGUACAUGGCUGUUUUUUUUUGGGCCUUUCAAGUGUUGUACCUUGCUAUUUUUUGUGUCCUUUCAAGUGCGUAACAUGGCUAUUUUUUUGUUGGGAUUAAAAGGUAUGACCUCAUAGCCACGUCUUUAAUACUUUUUUAGUCUAUGAAACUGGUACCUUAUUGGCCCUUUGGUUUAAUUAGCAUUUAAAGGAACUUCAAUGAUCAAUAGUAUCUUGUUUUUCUAUAUAGCCCUCGGACAGUCAUAUUAUUUGAUAUUGUGGCAAUGCUUUGAGAACAAUGAAGAAUUGGUAGUAUUCUGUUUGUAGUCGUAGUAGUUGUAGUAGAUGUGCAUAUGUAUUUGGUCAAACACUUCCAUUUACCGUUCAUGCUUUGAGUAAUGGGAUACACUAGAACGGAGGCAGUAAUGGUGGAUUGUUCUUUUUUCUACAGAUCGACGGUCUAAUGGAGUAUCCCGUAGUUAUACUUCUAGUUAUUGACUAUGAAGAUCAAAGUUAUUGUGGACGUGCUUGGAUGUUUUAAGGUUAUCCGUUUGUUGAGGUUGAACUUUUUAGUAUUUUGUGGUCUGAGUUUGGAUACAUUUUGUUACCGAGCUUGGAUUUUUUUUUAAUUUCCCCCUUGUUGUAGUUGGGGGCGUGUCGUUAUUUUGUGCUCUAAGAAUUCGGAUAAAAGUUGUUAUGACCGUAUUUGGUGGACAUAUCUAUUUAUGAAAAUUUGGAUUUGUUUCUUGGAA